GAUGAAGAACGUAGCGAAAUGCGAUAAGUAAUGUGAAUUGCAGAAUUCAGUGAAUCAUCGAAUCUUUGAACGCACAUUGCGCCCGCCAGUAUUCUGGCGGGCAUGCCUGUUCGAGCGUCAUUUCAACCAUCAAGCCCCAGGCUUGUGUUGGGGACCUGCGGCUGCCGCAGGCCCUGAAAACCAGUGGCGGGCUCGCUGUCACACCGGGCGUAGUAGAUUUUAUCUCGCUCAGGGCGUGCUGCGGGUUCCGGCCGUUAAAAAGCCUUUUUUACCCAAGGUUGACCUCGGAUCAGGUAGGAAUACCCGCUGAACUUAAGCAUACAAUAAGCGGAGGA
RNAcentral lists this unclassified non-coding RNA (335 nucleotides) under soil metagenome. Its description in RNAcentral is "partial contains 5.8S ribosomal RNA, internal transcribed spacer 2, and large subunit ribosomal RNA". The stretch from base 1 to 120 matches the Rfam family "5.8S ribosomal RNA", at positions 35 to 154 of the family's 154-position model. The record is from RNAcentral.